This is a long non-coding RNA of Manis pentadactyla (Chinese pangolin), 1247 nucleotides long. RefSeq lists it as uncharacterized. NCBI's taxonomy places the organism in Eukaryota, Metazoa, Chordata, Mammalia, Pholidota, Manidae. The record is from RefSeq and is a predicted model, not a curated record. The transcript has 2 exons.
AUGUAUAUAUCUGCAAACAGCCUGAGAAUUUUUGUGGUAACCAAAAUUCUUAAAGUUUUCUAAGUUAUAUAGACAUAUUUUAUCUUAAUAUUAAAAAGACUAAGCUAAGUGUUAACAACUAUGUAACCUUCUGCAUUUGCCUUUAAACUUUCUUAUUAUCAUUCUGGUUAAAUAAUAAGUGUUAUUUAAUAACUAUAAUUCUAUUUAGGCAAGUGCCUUAAAAACUUUUGACAAUUUCCCAAGACCAAAUUUGAAAAAGUAUUUUUACCUCUAAUUAACUCUGAUAUUUUCCAGAGGGCCCCUGGAACAUAUCAGUGGAAUUUCUUCUCCUCGUCAAGGAAAAUAUUUGACUAAUUUGGCUUAUUUACCCAAUGUAUAUUUACCUGGAAAGCACUGUCAAAGGGAAUAGUGCCAAACUUUGUUACUGAAUGUUUUAUGUCACAGAAAUAUCACUCUUCUCCCUAAGACGCUUACUCCUGAUGCCCAAUUAAAUUUACCUGUUAGUACUACUAUAAUUACUGAUUGCGUAUGUAUUAAUUGUACUCAUGUAGCCUCUUACUGUAAUUGUACAAUCAAUGUAAAAUUGUCUUCUAGAUAUAGACUUCCAAAUGGUUGGGUAUUUUUGUGUAAUAACAAAGCAUAUCAAGCCCUUUCUUCACACUAUGGUGUGGGACGCAUUCUUUCUGCUCUACAUCCUGGAUAUAGGCUCAAGAGGCUUCUCCUAGCUCUGCCAUCUGAUUGUCAUGAAAACUUGAAACUUUCAGAUCCUGCCGCUCUUGCAGUUGCAGCUGCAUUCCUCCUGCAGGUUCCUGGACUUGUCAUUGGAAUGCUAAAGGAGAUAGCUAAGGUGGCCUGCACAUACAGCAAAACAACAAAUUUGACUGCUUAUAUAUUAUCUGAACUCAACCAAGAACUGAGAGAAGUGCAAGUUGUGGUACUUCAAAAUCAGGCUACUAUAGACUGUCUGCUGUUAAAAGAACAUGAAGGAUGUAAGCAGUUUCCAAGAAUGUGCUGUUUCAAUUUGUCUGAUUUUUCUCAAACUACCCAAAAUCAAUUAGAUGAUAUCCAUCAUAUUGUCAAUAAGUUUUUACAAAUGCCUGAGUUAUCUAACUAGUUUUCUUAAUUUCAUUAGAUAUAACUAGUAAUUGUAAGUCUGCCUUUGUUAUGUAUCUGUAUUCCUAUUUUGUUAAUGUGUGUAUGCAAUUUAACUAGUAGUUUGUUAAAACCUAUAUAUAUAUAUUCAAAUU